This 492-nucleotide ribosomal RNA is filed under the name uncultured bacterium. RNAcentral's name for it is "partial 16S ribosomal RNA". It matches the Rfam family "Bacterial small subunit ribosomal RNA", at positions 29 to 506 of the family's 1533-position model. The record is from RNAcentral.
ACGAACGCUGGCGGCGUGCUUAACACCUGCAAGUCGAACGGAAAGGCCUGCUUUCCCUUGUGGAUUGCGGGUACUCGAGUGGCGAACGGGUGAGUAACACGUGAGUGAUCUGCCCCCAACUUGGGUAUAAGCCUGGGAAACUGGGUCUAAUUCCCGAUAGGACUGCAGGGUGGUGCCUGUGGUGGAAAACGAUUUUCUAGUGGUUGGGGAUGAGCUCGCGGCCUAUCAGCUUGUUGGUGGGGUAAUGGCCUACCAAGGCGGCGACGGGUAGCCGGCCUGAGAGGGUGGACGGCCACAUUGGGACUGAGAGACGGCCCAGACUCCUACGGGAGGCAGCAGUGGGGAAUAUUGCACAAUGGGCGGAAGCCUGAUGCAGCGACGCCGCGUGGGGGAUGACGGCCUUCGGGUUGUAAACUCCUUUCGACCGCGAGGAAGCCACCUGGUUGGAAGGGUGGUGACGGUAGUGGUAGAAGAAGCACCGGCUAACUACGU